AUCUGGUAAAAUCUAAAGGGAAGACAGAGUAGAAGAAGCAUUACCCAAGGAGACCGUUCGUGCUGCAGAAGGCAUCCGCUUCAGCAGGAGCACAAGAAAGCCUGAACUCACCAAAUGGCAGUGGUCUUCUGAGUAUUCCACAUCUGAACGCCACAGAAAGAGGGAGAGAAACAGUCCAUUAAAACAACAGCCACGGUUUCACAUUCUCAGGACCAGAAACAGAUCUAAAUGCUUUCCUCCACUCUCUCAGAGAAUUACCUGGCAACCACUCAAUCUCAUCUUUGUGACAGUACAUCCGAGAGAGGCAAAAAGUGAUGCUUUAUAAAGUGGGGUGAGAACAAAAGGUUAAUAGCAUUAUGUCUGUUACCUGAAGUAAAAUUUGCUAUCUUCUUAAAAACUUUUAUAGAGGAUCCAUUUGAUAUCUGAAAGCAAAGAUAAAAAAUAGAUGAGUUUUCAAAAUUUGAUGUAUUUCUCAACUUUACCCAGGAAUUAGAUGGCUGGGUGGAUCUUACAUUCUCUCACUUAUUCUAUCAAAUAUUUAUUAAGAAUUCCUAUGUUUUGGGCACUGGAGGCUGGGGCUAUAAUGAUAAGCAAGACACUGUCUCUGCCCUCAAAGAGUCUGCGGUCCUGUGAAGGUGGCA
Long non-coding RNA from Aethalodelphis obliquidens (Pacific white-sided dolphin), 641 nucleotides. RefSeq lists it as uncharacterized. The transcript is spliced from 2 exons. NCBI's taxonomy places the organism in Eukaryota, Metazoa, Chordata, Mammalia, Artiodactyla, Delphinidae. The record is from RefSeq and is a predicted model, not a curated record.